This 62-nucleotide microRNA precursor is filed under the name Simian foamy virus. Its description in RNAcentral is "microRNA sfv-mir-S7 precursor". Its record names the gene sfv-mir-S7. The record is from miRBase by way of RNAcentral. Lineage: Riboviria; Pararnavirae; Artverviricota; Revtraviricetes; Ortervirales; Retroviridae.
AAGAAGGCCUCCGGAAUGAAAGAGUAAAAAUUGAAGUCUCCUCAUUCAGAGAGCCUUCUUUU